This 272-nucleotide small RNA is filed under the name Chlorocebus sabaeus (green monkey). RNAcentral's name for it is "Metazoan signal recognition particle RNA (ENSCSAG00000023776.1)". Lineage: Eukaryota; Metazoa; Chordata; Mammalia; Primates; Cercopithecidae. The record is from RNAcentral.
GCCAGGUGUGGUGGUGCACACCUGUAUUCCCAACUACUCGGGAGGCUGAGGUGGGCGGAUCGCUUGAGCCCAGGAGGCUGAGGUUGCAUUGAACCAAUCACGCCAUUGCCCUCCAGUCUGGGCAACAGAGGGGAGGCUCCAUCUAAAAAAAAAAAGGCUGGGCGCAGUGGCUCAUGCCUGUAAUCCCAGCACUUUGGGAGGCUAAGGCGAGUGGAUCGCCUGAGGUCAGGAGUUCGAGACCAGCCUGGCCAACAUAGUGAAACCUCGUCUCU